GAGAAGAGCGAGUAUAAUCUUUAAAACUCAAAGUAUUGGUAUGGGAGAAUAGUAUGUCUUUAUCUCUAUGAUCGUUUUCCUUUUAUAUUAUAAGAAAAUGGAGAUAAAUAUAGCAUUCCCUGAUAAUCCGGUGAUGAUGUGGCCGACUCGUGAGUAAAGGAUCUUCAACGGCUAAUUGGUCGGGAAUCCCGUGAUCACAAGCGUAAAGGAAAUAUGCUGAAUUGUAGCUAUUUAACAGUAAC
Molecule: long non-coding RNA, 242 nt
Filed under: Manihot esculenta (cassava)
Lineage: Eukaryota; Viridiplantae; Streptophyta; Magnoliopsida; Malpighiales; Euphorbiaceae
Description: long non-coding RNA (MESC_LNC009885)
Source: RNAcentral